This is an RNA transcript of Mauremys mutica (yellowpond turtle), 3934 nucleotides long. It is a transcript of the gene named potassium calcium-activated channel subfamily M regulatory beta subunit 4, with no coding region annotated. Lineage: Eukaryota; Metazoa; Chordata; Testudines; Geoemydidae. The transcript is spliced from 4 exons. The record is from RefSeq and is a predicted model, not a curated record.
GCGGAUCGAAGCGCUGAAUGAAAAGUGUCUCGGCGGAGGCGGCUCCCCAGCGGCCCCUCCUCGCGGGGGGCUGGGUGCGAGCGAGUUACCCGCACGCGUGCGGCGCUGAUCCCGCCGUCUCCGCUGCCCUGCCCCGGGUGGGGCCGGCGUUCGCCCCCGCCCAGGAGCGCCUUUCGGUGGCAUUAAUCCGGAGCAGUAAUCGGGCGCUUCCUGCAACACGUCUCCGGGGGCAGAUAAUCCCGGGCCAAGCUGUCCCGAGAGGAGAUUGCCUCGCCCGGGGGCUGGAUCAGCCGGCUGCCGCGGAUCAGCGGGGUCAGGGCUGAGCAGGCGAGUCUCCCAGCCAUGAGGGGCUGCUGGGGGAGCAGCGAGCUCGCUCCCGCUAAGCGGCUUAGCCCCCGGCAGAUGUUGCCAAGCUCCCAGCCAGCCCCGAUCAUUGGCGGAGGGAGAGGCCGAGAGGGCCGGGAAACACCUCUGGCUCGGGGGGAAGAGGAGGGGGCUUGCACUGGUGCCUGGCACCCUCCGCCUUGCACCAUGCGGGGGGAGUGAAGAGUUGCACGGCGGCGUCUCGCCUCAGCAGGGGAGCUCCGGCCCCCGGCGGAGGGGAGCUCGGCAGCUGGAGUGGAGGGAGUUUGUCUCCGAUCGCCCCCUUCCUCCUCCUCCUCUCGCACCCUCUGCUGCUCUUGCUGCCAGGCUGGGGCAGCGCUUGCCUGUGGUAGGGGGAGAUGGCGAAAAUCAGGGUGUCUUACGAGUACACAGAAGCCGAAGACAAAAGCAUCCGGCUCGGCUUGUUCCUGAUCGUCUCUGGCAUCGUGUCGCUCUUCAUCCUGGGUUUCUGCUGGCUCAGCCCCGCUUUGCAAGAUUUGCAAGGCAAAGCUGCCAACUGCACGGUGCUCUCGGUGCAACAGAUCGGGGAGAUGUUUGAAUGCACGUUCACGUGUGGCACGGACUGCAAGGGCACCUCGCUGUACCCCUGCCUCCAGAUCUACGUCAACAACUCGGAGUCCAACUCCAGGGCGCUGCUGCACCAGGACGAGCACCAGCUCAUCACCAACCCUAAGUGUUCAUACAUCCCUCCCUGUGAAAGAGAAAAUCAGAAGAAUUCUGAAAUUGUCACACACUGGCAGGAAUACUGGAAAGUGGAAGUGGGUUCACAGCCAUUUACAUGUUAUUUUAAUGAGCAUCUAAGACCAGAUGAUGUGCUGCUUAGGCGUACCCACGAUGAGACGGUCCUCUUGCAUUGCUUUCUCUGGCCUCUGGUUACUUUCCUGGUAGGAGUCCUAAUUGUGGUCCUGACAAUCUGUGCAAAGAGCUUGGCCGUCAAAGCAGAGGCAAUAAAAAAGAGGAAACACUCAUAAAUGGAAAAGUCACUGAAGGAAAAGGAAAAAGUUGUAAGAAAGUCGAAAGUGACAAAUUCGACAUACCUGCGCCUCCAGUGCACCCAGACAUGCCCGUUGCCAAGGUCUUGUCAGGCUUUGGUGUUGCUGAUGCCUGAGGAUUAUUCUUGGGGGACAGCUUUAUGAAAUGUCAACUAAUUGCUUCUUCUGCUAUGACAGUAAACAAGAAUAUUCCACCAAAAGAUUCUAAACUGCACCAAAUAUGCUGUACUGUAUUAGACUAAACUUGAACAAUGGCUAAUUUAUCCAGGUCUUAGAUGUACUGAGGGACGAUACCAGAAAACCCGAAAGGUGGUGAAUUUCAUCUUUGCAAAACAAUCUUUGUUGUUAGUAUUUGGUAUUAAAUAUUUAAAAUCUUAUUUACUUUAUCAUAGACCGUAUUUCUGAAAUAAUAAAGGAUGGUGGUUUUGGUUUUUACCCUUGUUCAAUUCAGGUUUUUUUAAUUUAAAGUUCUAAAAUAACAUAUUCCACUGAUUUUAUUUGUCUUCACUGUACUGGAGAGUUUCAUUUUGAAAUUGACAUUUUAAUUUGGGCCUAGACAAAAUUCCUCAUUCAUCCUCGGUUGUUUAUCUUGCAAAAUAUUAAGAUCCCUGAGGAUUUUUAAUCUUGUAACUGGAAAACAAAUACUGAUUUUUAUUUGAAAGAGGAAAACAAUGCUGGGAAUAAUCCUGUUGACUCAAUAACAUUCAGUCCUUAGCAGUUCUAUAGUAUUCUGUGAGUUAUCCUAUUAGCGUUAUCGGCUUCACAAAGUGGUGAUAUAAACCAAACACACAUAGUUUUGUAGUAGAGAUCCCACUAAGAUGCUGUGUGACACUUCUAAUCACAUCCUUAAAUUAGAAAGUUCUGAGUCACUUUACAUCACUUUGUUCAAGUGAUGGUUAAAAGAAUAAGAUCUCAACUUUUUACAGUCCCUUACUGCAUGUAACUAAACUACCAUUGUCACAGUCACUACAUUGCUGUGUACAGCGCUAACAGUCUCAGCAAAAGGAUGUUUUUCAACAUCAAAAAUAAGAUGUACUAGUAACUGAAUAACUCAAUAUCUACAUUCCGUAUCUUACCCUGUCAUUUCCAACUUUCAGCAUCGGAAACCUGAGGGAUAUUUAUCCUAGUCGGGUUAGAGAAUAAACGUAGGAGGCACAUUUUAGUUCAAUGCAAAGCUGUCUCUACUUUUGUCACAAGUCUUAUUAAUGAGAUUCCACUUUUCAGUAUGUUUCUGAUGUACAUCAUAUGAUGAUAUAGUAGAUUUUUAACCUUUAUUAACAAGUCUAAACCUGCUUUCUAUUUUUUUAAUCUCUGCCAUUCUUAGUGUUGAUUUAAAUAUAGAGAUCUAAUUGAUUGCUUCUGGGCUCAUUUGACAAUUAUCCAUAGAAAUGUUUCCACAAGAAAAAGCAAACGACUUUAAACCCUAGGAAACAUUCUGUUGUCAUAAGGUGAUUUCCAUUGUCUAUUAUCCUUUCAGUGGUUAUUGUAUGGAUAACAAUCAAAUAUUCAAAUGCUUUAAUAGCUUUUUAUUUUGGAAAUUAGCAUACAAUUGGGACAGCAUGGGGUAGGACCCAGGGCUGUGAAUUAGGAGGCCUGCAGUCUAUUCCUAGUUCUGCCACUCCCCUGGUGUUUGACGUUGAGGAUGUCACUUAAUCUUUCUGUGUCUCAAUUUCCCCAUCUGUCAAAUAGGGAUAAUGUUACACUUCUCAAUAAAGUGCUUUGAAAGCUAGGACUGAAAAGUGCUAUAUAAAUGGUGUAUACAUAAUUCUCUGCUGAAAGGCUCAUUCUCCGGGAAGUGUACCUUGUAUCAUCCUCCUCCUUUAGAUACGCUCUGAGUCUGAGGGGGAAAAAAUUGCCAGGAUGAAUAGAGGUUGUGAUUUUUUUCAAACUGCCUAUGGAAGUUUGGCCCCUUUUGAAAAUACAAGCCUGCUAGUUAGCAAAGGAUAUGUCCUUUUAUUCAGUGACAGUGUCUAGAUUCCACGACCUCUGUUUCAUGUGCUGCAAUCCUGUUGCCUUAGCAACACACUACCUUAGCAACAAACUGAGCCAUUCCAUGGGUUUUAUUGUCACUCUGCAAAUCAGAGAAGAUUGCUGGCUUUGGGCAAUUUUGCCAUUUGAGGGAAAUAGUGGCAAGCCCACUUUAUAUAUGUUUCCAUUGACACCCACUGGGCACGACUCGCUACAGGCAGUCUGUAUAAUCUUUAUUCGAUGCACAUUAAAAUAUCUUUUAUUUUUUCAAAGGAGAUAGAAAAAUGUGGUGAGAUUCAUCCAGAGUUGGAGGCAGCAGCUUGGUUCUCAUAAAUCCAGAUUAACUAAAUCCUCUCUAUCUUUGCUGUAAAAGCUCUUGUGACUGAAUUGUGUGGCUGAUUCCCUGAGCAAAGGUGUUGCCGCUGACGCUUCUGACACUGAAAUUAUAGAGCCGCCCCGGUCGAAGGCCAUACAUGAUGCGUCCCUUUGAUCUGCUGUUGCUGUACGGGUUGAAGACUGUAAGGGGAUCUCUCGGGAACCAUUGCAACUCAAAGUCAUCAUAAUCUGUCCAGUCCGGGGGACCCAGCCAG